RNAcentral lists this ribosomal RNA (465 nucleotides) under Vreelandella stevensii. Its description in RNAcentral is "partial 16S ribosomal RNA". It matches the Rfam family "Bacterial small subunit ribosomal RNA", at positions 338 to 795 of the family's 1533-position model. Lineage: Bacteria; Pseudomonadati; Pseudomonadota; Gammaproteobacteria; Oceanospirillales; Halomonadaceae. The record is from RNAcentral.
CCUACGGGUGGCAGCAGUGGGGAAUAUUGGACAAUGGGGGGAACCCUGAUCCAGCCAUGCCGCGUGUGUGAAGAAGGCCCUCGGGUUGUAAAGCACUUUCAGUGAGGAAGAACGCCUGGUGGUUAAUACCCAUCAGGAAAGACAUCACUCACAGAAGAAGCACCGGCUAACUCCGUGCCAGCAGCCGCGGUAAUACGGAGGGUGCGAGCGUUAAUCGGAAUUACUGGGCGUAAAGCGCGCGUAGGUGGCUUGAUAAGCCGGUUGUGAAAGCCCCGGGCUCAACCUGGGAACGGCAUCCGGAACUGUCAAGCUAGAGUGCAGGAGAGGAAGGUAGAAUUCCCGGUGUAGCGGUGAAAUGCGUAGAGAUCGGGAGGAAUACCAGUGGCGAAGGCGGCCUUCUGGACUGACACUGACACUGAGGUGCGAAAGCGUGGGUAGCAAACAGGAUUAGAUACCCUGGUUGUC